GUCGAAAGGGUAAUUGACGUAGUUGUGGAAGUUGUGGUGCAGCUGGAGGACAUAGUAUAUUCGGUGGAAGAACUGGAAGUGGUAGAAUUGAUAGAUGAUGUAGACAUGGUGGAACUGAAAGAGGCGAAGGAGAUGGUGGACAUGGAACAGGUGAUGGAGUGGAUUGAGUUGAUGGAGGUGGUAUAGAUGACAGAGCCAAGGGAGGUGAUGGAGGUGGUAGAGAUGGUGGAGUUGAGGGAGGUGGUGGAGUUGAGCGAGGUGGUGGAGGUGAUAGAGGCAGUCGAGUGAUGGAGGUGGGACAAGUGAUGGAGUGGAUUAAGUUGAUGGAGGUAGUAUAGGUGAUGGAGUCAAGGGAGGUGGUGGAAAGGAUUGAGUUGAUGGAGGUAGUGUAGGUAAUGGAGUCAAGGGAGGUGACGGAGGUCAUGGAGCAGGUAUAUCUGUGUUUAACUGUGGGUACAAAUGAGUGAGUAGAUAAAUUGCUUCAAUGUUUGAUGGAAAAAGAAAGCAUGUUUUUAAAACUUGAGCUUGUUUCUGAGAUUAGCAAUAAAAGCAAAAUAUCCUAGAACUCCCAGGGUGGGAGCAGGUGAGGGAGACUCAGAUAAUUCAGUUCACCACCAGUGUUACUCUUCGCUGUCGGCCCUUGCAAAGGAGAAGGGAGGACAACAGGGACAAGGCUUGCUAAGCCCUUUCCACUACUGUUGAAUUUGGGCUUUGAUGCUAAGCAGAGUCUGCUUAAAAAGAUCAUAGCACCAAGGCCAGCUGGGAAAAUGACAGGUCUGAGCUUGUGUAGCUGAAGCCAUACAAUAGUGUGGAGUGAUGGGCUGUGAAGUUGAAAUGCUUAUUCCUUUGUUUGCUGUUCCUAAUAAGAGAAAAUGGAUGGGAGAGACUGUUGGCUUUACAAACACCCACUGCCAAUACUGGUGGUUGUAUUUAUGGGACUGAGCCACAGCCACUCACUGAAUUCAGGGGGAGUAACUGUAAAUACCCACAAAAGACAUGAUGUGUGGGGGUGAUGACCAUCAUCGCUACUUUCUUGAGCCUUUAACAUAUAUAUUCAUCCCAAGAAUUGUAUAAAGGAGUUAUUAUAUACCCAUUUCACAGAUGGAAAAACCCGAGGCCCAGAGAGGGGAAGUGACUUGCCCUUAUAGCCCAGCCAGGACUCGCAUCCCAUUCACCCAUUUACUACUCUGUGAAUGCUUGCAGUCCAUGGCUUUGCCUUUUGGGGGCAAGAGCCUCUCUGCACUUUUCUGGAGGAGCCUGGAAGGUGGAGGACAGGAACUUCUAAGGCAGAUGCCAGCAGUGUUAACAUCUGAGCAGGCUUUCCCUCUCUCCCCCUUUCUUUUUGCUCUUUCCAUCCUGCCCUCUAUCUACUUUGGACGAUCAGAAGGCCAGCAGCUGCCAGCAACCUUGUGGUGAAAACCCAGCAGGAGUGUUGGAAUUGGGGGUCAAGGGGACCAUCACCAUCCAAGGACCAGCCAGGUGUCCACCACAGAGCCUGCUGGGUAUGUGACAGAGCUGUGCCCAUGCCCAGGUUUGAUCCCAGAAGUUGGGAUCAAAGGAACCUGGACAUCCAGUGCAUCAGCCAGGACAAGAACUAUCCCCAUGGCAACCAAGGGAUGAAGAGGCCACAUUAACCCUUCUGAGGGCAGGCCUGGUUGAGAGCCUCUUCACCAACCCCUCCUGGGUGUGGCACUAUACAGGCGACAAGGGGAGUCACAUCUCCCAAAGGACAUCCCCCAGUCUCACCACCAUUCCAAGAGAAAGGCAAGGCUGAGAUGUUAUACACAUUGGAUGAAGGGCAACGUUGAGGUGAACUCAGAGGGACGGACAGUACAAGGACUUCGGAUUUUAUUCUCCUAACAAUGCAGAGCCGUAGAGGAGGUAAAGCAGGUGAGGGACA
Molecule: long non-coding RNA, 1900 nt
Filed under: Homo sapiens (human)
Lineage: Eukaryota; Metazoa; Chordata; Mammalia; Primates; Hominidae
Description: HSALNT0051229
Source: RNAcentral